Molecule: ribosomal RNA, 407 nt
Filed under: uncultured bacterium
Lineage: Bacteria
Description: partial 16S ribosomal RNA
Rfam family: Bacterial small subunit ribosomal RNA
Source: RNAcentral
GAUGAACGCUGGCGGCGCGCCUAACACAUGCAAGUCGAACGAGUGGCGAACGGGUGAGUAACACGUGACCAACCCGCCCCCCCCACCGGGACAACCUCGGGAAACCGAGGCUAAUACCGGCUAGGGGGGGGGGGGGUCGGGGCCCAUCAGGUAGACGGCGGGGCGAAGGCCUGCCGUGCCGAGGACGGGUAGCCGGGCUGAGGGGCCUAGCGGCCAAAUUGGGACGGAGGCACGGCUCGGACUCCUACGGGAGGCAGCAGUGGGGAAUAUUGCGCAAUGGGCGAAAGGCUGACGCGGCGACGGCGCGUGCGGGAAGGAGGGCUUGGGGUCGUAAACCGCUUUCAGCAGGGAAGCGGUACCUGCAGAAGAAGCCCCGGCUAACUACGUGCCAGCAGCCGCGGUAAUAC